GAUGAACGCUAGCGGCAGGCUUAAUACAUGCAAGUCGAGGGGCAUCAAGGUACACGAAAGUGUAUUGUUGGCGACCGGCGGACGGGUGAGUAAUAGGUAGGUAACCUACCUCAUACUGAGGCAUAGCUGGGAGAAAUUCCAGGUAAUUCCUCAUGAGGUUAUAUGACACAUGUGAUAUAAUCAAAGGUAUCGCAAGGUACUGGUAUGAGAUGGGCUUACUGACCAUUAGCUAGUUGGUGAGAUAAGAGCUCACCAAGGCGAAGAUGGUUAGGGGUUUUGAGAGAGAGAUCCCCCACAUUGGAACUGAGAUACGGUCCAGACUCCUACGGGAGGCAGCAGUAGGGAAUAUUGGGCAAUGGGCGGAAGCCUGACCCAGCCAUGCCGCGUGAAGGAAGACGGCCUUAUGGGUUGUAAACUUCUUUAACUAUGCGACUAACUAGAUUUACGAGAUAAUUCUAUAGAAUGUAGCAUAGCAAAAGCACCGG
Molecule: ribosomal RNA, 485 nt
Filed under: uncultured bacterium
Lineage: Bacteria
Description: bacterial SSU rRNA
Rfam family: Bacterial small subunit ribosomal RNA
Source: RNAcentral